UUCGUCUUUCUGUUUUAUGUUUAUGGCCGAGUGUGGCCGAGAGAUUUGUAUGGGCCUGUUUUGGCCGUUUUUAUUGCUUAUCGGGACUGGCCGUUGGUGGCUUCGAAUCCCCUUGCCGCUUUACGCGGUUUAUUUAUAUGAUGAAUGUUUCGUUUUUCGAGUUUUUGCCGAGUAGGUUCGAAGUAAAUAUGAGUUGUCGUCUCAUAUUCAAUUCCGAUGAGACGUCCAAUCUGUUGGUUCGUUCGUGAUUUUCGUAAGAGUUACCCAUCUUUACGAUUUUCGAGAACAUUGAGAUACGAACGGAGAGACAUGGUUUAGG
RNAcentral lists this long non-coding RNA (319 nucleotides) under Brassica rapa (field mustard). RNAcentral describes it as "long non-coding RNA (BRAP_LNC008744)". Lineage: Eukaryota; Viridiplantae; Streptophyta; Magnoliopsida; Brassicales; Brassicaceae. The record is from RNAcentral.